RNAcentral lists this unclassified non-coding RNA (334 nucleotides) under Hevea brasiliensis (rubber tree). Lineage: Eukaryota; Viridiplantae; Streptophyta; Magnoliopsida; Malpighiales; Euphorbiaceae. The record is from RNAcentral.
GAAUGGAUAAAUCUUGACAUGGCCAUUACAACUCUUCCCUCCUCUCAUCACCUCCAUUUCUGCUUCUUCUCUUCAUCAUCUUCCAAAUUCUCAAUCACUACACAAUUAUGCCUAAAUUUUCCCCCGAAGAAUCGUAUUUCACUCGUCAUUUGUUCUUCUUCUACUUCGCCCCCUCCGCCAUCAUCGUCGUCGCCCCAAGUCAGUGAACCCACUCCCACUGCUGAGUCCUGUGUCAAUGCCGGCCUCGACCUCUUCUCUAAAGGACGGGUGAAAGAUGCUCUUGUGCUAUUCGACACAGCACUUACUUUAAAUCCCAACCCUGAGGAGGCUCAAG